RNAcentral lists this ribosomal RNA (492 nucleotides) under uncultured bacterium. RNAcentral describes it as "partial 16S ribosomal RNA". It matches the Rfam family "Bacterial small subunit ribosomal RNA", at positions 29 to 507 of the family's 1533-position model. The record is from RNAcentral.
AGUGAACGCUGGCGGUAGGCCUAACACAUGCAAGUCGAACGGCAGCACAGUAAGAGCUUGCUCUUACGGGUGGCGAGUGGCGGACGGGUGAGGAAUACAUCGGAAUCUACUUUUUCGUGGGGGAUAACGUAGGGAAACUUAUGCUAAUACCGCAUACGACCUACGGGUGAAAGCAGGAGAUCUUCGGACCUUGCGCGAUUGAAUGAGCCGAUGUCGGAUUAGCUAGUUGGCGGGGUAAAGGCCCACCAAGGCGACGAUCCGUAGCUGGUCUGAGAGGAUGAUCAGCCACACUGGAACUGAGACACGGUCCAGACUCCUACGGGAGGCAGCAGUGGGGAAUAUUGGACAAUGGGCGCAAGCCUGAUCCAGCCAUACCGCGUGGGUGAAGAAGGCCUUCGGGUUGUAAAGCCCUUUUGUUGGGAAAGAAAAGCAGCAGGUUAAUACCCCGCUGUUCUGACGGUACCCAAAGAAUAAGCACCGGCUAACUUCGUG